AGACUUUUAUAAUUGUAAAUCAAAUAGGUGGAUUAUACAUGAUUGCCAUUCUAUUAUAGUGAAAUAUUAAACAAACGUAUAUCCAACGUCACGUCUAAAUAACAAAACAUUGUAUCUUAAACGAGGAUUAGAUACCCUCUUAUUUAAUGCUAUUUAACUCUACAGAGCACUAAAGUUUUUAGAACUAAAACUUAAGUAUCAUGGCGGUAAUUUUAAUUUUCAGGGGAACUUACCUCAUAAUCGAUAACCACCACGGUAACACAACUUUUAAAAAAUCUUGUAUGCCGUCGUCGUCAGAUAAGAUACAAUAUUUUAUCCAAAAGAUAUCAAAAAGACAGACCAUGGUGCAGACAAUUUAAAAGCGACGGCGAGUUACAAUUCUCACAGCGAAUAAACAUAAGUAUAAAUAAACUACUCUAUUAAAAGCGGACUUGACAGUAAGUGUCACUAUUUAUAUUAACUGAACACUCUAAAAUUGUGCACAA
Molecule: ribosomal RNA, 485 nt
Filed under: Noctepuna cerea
Lineage: Eukaryota; Metazoa; Mollusca; Gastropoda; Stylommatophora; Camaenidae
Description: partial 12S ribosomal RNA
Source: RNAcentral